RNAcentral lists this ribosomal RNA (406 nucleotides) under uncultured bacterium. RNAcentral's name for it is "partial 16S ribosomal RNA". It matches the Rfam family "Bacterial small subunit ribosomal RNA", at positions 30 to 526 of the family's 1533-position model. The record is from RNAcentral.
AUUGAACGCUGGCGGCAGGCCUAACACAUGCAAGUCGAACGAGUGGCGGACGGGUGAGUAAUGUCUGGGAAACUGCCUGAUGGCGGGGGAUAACUACUGGAAACGGUAGCUAAUACCGCAUACCAUCAGAUGUUCCCGGAUGGGAUUAGCUAGUUGGUGGGGUAACGGCUCACCAAGGCGACGAUCCCUAGCUGGUCUGAGAGGAUGACCAGGCACACUGGAACUGAGACACGGUCCAGAGUCCGACGUGAGGCAGCAGUGGGGAAUAGUGCACAAUGGGCGCAAGACUGAUGCAGCCAUGCCGCGUGUAUGAAGAAGGCCUUCGGGGUGUAAAGUACUUUCAGCGGGGAGGCGUUACCCGCAGAAGAAGCACCGGCUAACUCCGUGCCAGCCGCCGCGGUAAUUC